Long non-coding RNA from Pecten maximus, 5045 nucleotides. RefSeq lists it as uncharacterized. NCBI's taxonomy places the organism in Eukaryota, Metazoa, Mollusca, Bivalvia, Pectinida, Pectinidae. The record is from RefSeq and is a predicted model, not a curated record. The transcript is spliced from 2 exons.
GAGAGAGAGAGAGAGAGAUUGUUUAUUAUUCAUUCUAAUGUAAAAAAAAAAAAUCGGAAAAAAUCAUUUUAGUAAUAAACAAAAUAUGGAAAAUAUCCUGAUUAAUCUUCCCGCGAUAUGAUUGACGUUGUAACUCAGUUUUGAGCACCUGUAAACGUCAUCACAAUCUGAACACCAUGGAACAUUUCUCCGUCAUUCCAUGAGGAAUAAUUCAAGGAUUGAGGACGUAUAUAUUACAUUUUACCGGUGUAGUAUAAUGAAAUCAUCAUAUUGAUGAAAACGUUUACCCACAGUAAUAUCCCACCUGCAUCGAAAUGCUUUUAACAUGGUUUGUUUGCUUUUUUCAAUCUACUUAUAUAGGCUGUCUCAGAAUACUAGAAAAAACUUUUAUGAAUAGGUUGACCUUGCCUGAAUUUUUAUCGACAUGUUUUUAUUUGUUUUUAGCUUUUAAACACACAAACAUUUUAUGAUAAAUUAGAUGUAUUUUUUUUUCAUAAAUCGAGUUCUCGAAAGUAUUGAAAUUUGGAAUAUGUGAUAGUUCGAUUUUCCUGCUGAAUAUGUAUGUGUUGUAAGUGCUCUAUACAGUCGAACUCGUGGUAUUGGCAGUGUAAACAAAAUCUGCGAUACCCAUGACAAGACUAUUGUAUAUCAUAAUAGAUGCUGCUAAUUUCCAGUUAUCCACUUUACUGCAAAAUCGACACUUUGUUGAAAACUGAAUGUGUGUAACCAAAACGUCCAAGUUGUGAUGUCAUGGGACUUCUUACUAUGGGAACGGUCACAGAAGCAGUUCAUGCGACUUUCUUGGCAGGAAAUGACGUCAUUGAUUAGACUCAUCGAUAGGGUUAUUACAUUACAUUGACACAUAUCUGUGAUAUAAUUAUGUAAAUGCUAUUGGUGGAUAAUUUUGUAAUUUUUGCUAUGACUUCAUUUCGUAAGCUUAUGCAAUGACACUGCCUCCGUCAUGCUGCUAGUUUAGAAUCUCUCGUUCAUGGAUCCUAACCAAUUUGGCCUUGAACAUUUAAGUUUGAUAGGCACUGGAUUUUGUUUGAUUAAAGAUAACAUUUGAGUGUGAAUAGACGAACUACGGUUCUGAACUUUCCCUUUGUUUUGUGUUGUCAUAACUACCACGAUAUCCUGGCAUAUUCUCGAAGUAUGUAGUAUCGGACCAUUGGACCUCUUGUAUUUUUAUUUGCAAAUUUUGCUGCUUUAGAAUCAAAUGAAUGUACUUAAAUCGCACGAAGAGAAGUGUCAGCUAUCAUUUUAAAGAUGUGUACAUUAUAUGAUUUUUCUUCUUUUAAUCAUUGUAUACAGAUCAUCGAAUUCAUAUUUAUAAAUAACAUAUAAUUAUUCAUUUUGAUAAGAUAUCCGUAAUUAUGAAUAUAAUAAGGUAUAUUACCUAUUGAUUUAUUUUCAAAGCAUCAUGCUUGUGUUCUUCAUUUUGCGAACUUACCUCACCAUACAUAUUCGCGAAAUUAUGAUUUCACGAACGCUGGUCUGGUCUAGAAAUUUCUUUAUAUUCGCGAAUGAUGAGAAAGCUGAGCAAUGAACUUUGCCAUAGACCUUUAUCGGUAAUCGAUAGCUUAUUUUCGUACAAAAAAUAGAAUGGAUUUUAAUUCCCGAUUGAUUCUACUCGCGUAUCAACGCGAAAAUAAAUCACACGCGAAAUAUAGGUAUUUUACAGUAAGAACACUUUGGAUAAAUGUCCUUUUUUAUCUACUAUUUGUUGUUUGAUGUGAUGAAUACUUUACAGUUGUUACUGUUUAUUACUAUUAUUUACUAUUUAUGCUGGUGCUAAAUAUGUAGUCAUAUUUGCUUAUUGAAAUUAUUCUUUUUAUUCUUUAUGUAUAUAUUCCUAAAUGCGCUUAUUCAUUCCAAAUGACAAUUUGAUACAUAAAUAUAUGUAUACCGCUAUAUUAUAAUUAUUUAAACAAUAUCUUACUGCGACCAUCAUUACUUUCAUAAUUAGCUGCAAGGUUAAUAUAAUUUAUUUAAAUUUUUGCCUAAGAUGUCGUUUGCGUCUUUUGUAAGAGAUACGAUCUGUCCCUUACAAUAAGACCAGGUUUCUACCUCCAACUCAUGGUUAAAGUUUUGGAAAUGGCUUACUAUCCACUAACGAAGUUGACAUAUUUUUUAUUCUCCUCAUAACAGUUGCUAAGUGGUCUAGCAUUAAUUUUCAUUUAUUAAUUUGUUUUGAACCUUACUUCAUAGUAACUUAAUAUCACAAAAAUGAAAUUUACAUCUUGUGAAUCUUAUUAUCUCUCCAAAAUCUGCAGCUGGAAAAUUUCUUCAAAUUAUUAUUUUUUAUGUUGUAUCAUUUUGUAAUGCUGCCCCGGGUUACUAAGAUCAAAACACAUUAUAGUUGCGUCUCGGUCAAAAGUACACCGUCUUCAUAAGGAAACCACCAUUCAAACUCAAAAUCGAUUUAACGAGGGGAAAAUAUAAACAAAAGCAACAAAGCAUACCGAAAUCAUAAACCAUGAUCAAAAUUCAAAACGAUUGAAUGGGGGCAAAAUAAACAUAAUCUUUGCAUUAAGACUCCUGAAAAUUACAAGAAGAAUAGAAGUAGUUGCCCCGGAAGAGUUUGCGUCUUCUGGUUAGACAUUAGCCUAAUGGUUAAGCUGAAAUUUGACUUGACAGGAUGUAUGUCUUGUGCUGGAUGCCUGUGUGGUUAAGUCUGUUAACGGGAAGGUCAUACCAAUGGGUAAAAGUUUAUUUUUGGAUAAAAUUGUUACCCAUGCUAAAUAUCUUUAACUAUUGAAAUGAGAUAUUCUACUUGAGUUUGAUGUGAAUCAAGACAUUGAAACCAUAUUUUGGGUUAUUUUCGAUUUCAAACUCUGGUUUGUUCAAAUAGAAAUCUGGCUACUCCAAAGGAUGUAUUCUCACUACGUUACGUUCUGACAAUAUGACAUUCAUCUGUUUUGUUAUAUUUGUCACAUAUGUGAAGGCGCAUAAUUAUGUACAUCAAAAUGUAUCUUAUUUUGUCAAAUAAUGUGUUUCUUAUUAAUUAUGUAUACAUAAUUCCAUUCAAGAGAUCGCCGAUAUCGUUUAUAGCACAAUUUUAUAUAAAAUAUCUAGUUAUGUAGAUCAAGAUUAAUUGAAUUAUCAUAUUAAAAACCUUUACAAUUUUACAUAGCAAUGAAUACCAACGUCAAUACAAAAUUAUACUACUUAUAUUAAACGACUAUAACUGUAAAAUCACGGUAGGAAAAUUUUAUCAGUCGUAACAUUUUUCAAACAUAUAUGUCUUAAAACGAAGAAUUUUACUUAAUAAGAAAAAUUAAAAAGGGUCCUCAACCAUGUAUUAUAAAUACCUAAACUAGAACAGAACUAUAACAUUUCAAUUCGGUAGGUCCUGAGAGAAAAAGAAUAUUUUAAUCCGUAAACAGAUAUCUAUAGAAUUUCAUAUUCAUACGAAAAAACAUUCGUUUAAUGAGUAUGAAAUCUACCGUUAUGGUCGCUUUAAUGAGUAUGAAAUCUACAGUUAUGGUCGCUUUAAUGAGUAUGAAAUCUACAGUUAUAGUCGCUUUAAUGAGUAUGAAAUCUACAGUUAUAGUCGCUUUAAUGAGUAUGAAAUAUACAGUCACGGUCGCGUGUAUGAUUAAAUCCAAUGCAUAAUUGUACAUCCACGUCAUUUGUUAUAUGUAAAUUAAUAAUUUCAAUGAUUAAAUUCAAUAAUCGUGUAAUUGAAUGUAAGCAGUCAGUAAAAAUGAAAUAUGUUUAAGUGUGGGUAAUGCUGAACAUCAAACCAAGUGUGUUCAUCGUUGUCAUAAUUUGUACCCCAUCCUUCUUGCUACAAUAUCAAUGGCACAUUUUCUUAAUUAUGUAUAACAUUUGAUAUUUUUCAAUAUAAUUUUGUUGCUACACACUACAUUAAGUAGAUGUACAUAUGAUCUUAAUAUAUAUAAUCAAUGAUAUUUAUUAUUUCCAGAACGAGUUUAUCCGCCAUCAAUAAUUAAUUGCUUUUUAACAACUAUAUGAUUAUACCUACAUGUAUAUAUAGAUAUAUAUAAUAAAAUUGUUAGGAAUGCCUGAUCCCUUCGGACGAAGUAAUAUACAAUGAAAAACAAAAAACUCGACAACACAACUUUUCAUCGCAUUUUUUGUGACGUAACCAGUUAUGACGUCACUUUACUAGCGAUAGAAUAAACAUUUGCUUCAUCAUUGUCACACAAAAAAUCUAUUGUCGAGGUUAAGAUCAUUGUAUUGUGUGUAGGACAAAAAUGAUAGAUAUAUCUAAAGUAAGUAAGAUGUAAUGGUCCAAUAUAGGUACUGGGGCCUUACAGGAUAAACAGACCUCCGCUUGAUGUGUAUUACUAAAUUAACAUACAUGAUCAAUGAAGUGAUAACAACAGUACAGACAAGUAAAUUGACGAAUUUUCGAGGUAAUUCGCCCAUCUAUCCGGGCACAAGUAAAUACAAAUGAUCACAUACAGACAUAGAACAUGGAACAGUUACAUUAAUUUAUUAGAUAAACUACAAACAAUAUAGAUUUUCUUGGUUAUUUUUAUCAUUUCCCCCUUCGGUCGAUAACUAAUUCGCCGAAGGCAUACUGUUAUUUAGUAACCAUGCAAUGUCGCCAAUGAGCAUGCGCUGAACCUGUUUUCACUACAUCUCGUCAUCAAUCACUGAAUCACAGGGAUGACAUCAAUCUAAGUCUUGAGUGACGUAUGUGAUGUAUAAACAAAACACUCGCAGUCAAAUCACCAGCCAGAUUAUGAAGUUUUAGUGUAUUUCUUGUAAUCAAAGUUUGUAUUGACGUUUAAGUGUAAAAGUUGUAUCAUUGUAAUUUCGAUAUCUUUUUUCAUAUCAAGCUUUGAUACAUAUCAGUCCUCGCGCCCGAGCGCCAAAUAAAUUAUAGGGCUCUGUGAUUGGAACUGACCAUGUAAUGUAAAUGGGACAAGACUAUGUGUUACAAAUGCACAUAUGUGUGAUGUGAUAUAGGUAUGAACAUUUUAUGUGUGGCGUGUGUAUUAAGUGUUGGGGAUAACUGUGAUCUCUUUAAGAAUGAAAUCCAGAAUAUGAGUCGAUUAAAAAGUAUACUAGUA